UUUUUUUAAGUCUGAUGUGAAAGCCCUCGGCUUAACCGAGGAAGUGCAUCGGAAACUGGGAAACUUGAGUGCAGAAGAGGACAGUGGAACUCCAUGUGUAGCGGUGAAAUGCGUAGAUAUAUGGAAGAACACCAGUGGCGAAGGCGGCUGUCUGGUCUGUAACUGACGCUGAGGCUCGAAAGCAUGGGUAGCGAACAGGAUUAGAUACCCUGGUAGUCCAUGCCGUAAACGAUGAAUGCUAGGUGUUGGAGGGUUUCCGCCCUUCAGUGCCGCAGCUAACGCAUUAAGCAUUCCGCCUGGGGAGUACGACCGCAAGGUUGAAACUCAAAGGAAUUGACGGGGGCCCGCACAAGCGGUGGAGCAUGUGGUUUAAUUCGAAGCAACGCGAAGAACCUUACCAGGUCUUGACAUCUUUUGAUCACCUGAGAGAUCAGGUUUCCCCUUCGGGGGCAAAAUGACAGGUGGUGCAUGGUUGUCGUCAGCUCGUGUCGUGAGAUGUUGGGUUAAGUCCCGCAACGAGCGCAACCCUUAUGACUAGUUGCCAGCAUUUAGUUGGGCACUCUAGUAAGACUGCCGGUGACAAACCGGAGGAAGGUGGGGAUGACGUCAAAUCAUCAUGCCCCUUAUGACCUGGGCUACACACGUGCUACAAUGGAUGGUACAACGAGUUGCGAGACCGCGAGGUCAAGCUAAUCUCUUAAAGCCAUUCUCAGUUCGGACUGUAGGCUGCAACUCGCCUACACGAAGUCGGAAUCGCUAGUAAUCGCGGAUCAGCACGCCGCGGUGAAUACGUUCCCGGGCCUUGUACACACCGCCCGUCACACCAUGAGAGUUUGUAACACCCGAAGCCGGUGGUCGUAA
Molecule: ribosomal RNA, 861 nt
Filed under: Lactobacillus sp.
Lineage: Bacteria; Bacillati; Bacillota; Bacilli; Lactobacillales; Lactobacillaceae
Description: bacterial SSU rRNA
Rfam family: Bacterial small subunit ribosomal RNA
Source: RNAcentral